AUGCCGCGGCGGGGCGAGACGCAGGAGUUCCGGCCCUUCCGGCGCUGGUUCCCAUUCCUCGUGCCGCUCUUCGUCGCCGCCAACAUCGCCCUCUUCGUCCGCACCAUGUACGUCAACGACUGCCCCGCCCACGCCGCGGCUGCCGCCGCUGCGAUCGGCGGCUCCGUCGGCGGGGCCGCCGGGGCUGCCGCCGCGCACGGUUGCAUGCUCGAGCCGGACCUCGGCAGGUACGCGUUCCAGCCGUACAAGGAGAACCCCCUCGUCGGGCCCACAUCCGCGACGCUGUUGGAAAUGGGGGCACUAGAAACCGGUAAAGUUGCCAGAGAUCACGAAUGGUGGCGCCUCAUCACUUGCAUUUGGUUGCAUGCUGGUGUUAUCCACAUACUUGCCAAUAUGUUGAGUCUCCUGAUGAUUGGGAUCAGGCUUGAGAAGGAAUUUGGUUUCCUGAGGAUCGGCACACUAUAUGUGAUCUCGGGGGUCGGCGGUAGCUUAUUGUCUGCUCUGUUUAUGGUGUCAAAUAUCUCUGUUGGUGCUUCAGGUGCACUGUUUGGAUUACUGGGCUCCAUGCUGUCAGAGCUGAUAACUAACUGGACAAUAUACGAGAAUAAGUGUGCGGCUUUAUUGACUCUUGUUAUGAUCAUUGUUAUCAACUUGGCUGUUGGGAUCCUUCCACAUGUUGACAACUUUGCUCAUAUUGGUGGAUUUGUAUCGGGUUUUUUUCUUGGUUUUGUGCUCCUAAUGCGCCCACAGUUCGGAUACAUCAACCAGAAGAACUCUCGUCUUGGAGUUCACUCGGGCACGCCUAAAUCCAAGUACAAGAUAUAUCAAAUUGUACUCUUGGUGAUUGCUUUGGUGAUAUUAAUUUGUGGGUUCAUCACUGGCUUUGUAUUGCUAAUGCAAGGGUUCGAUGCUAGCCAGCAAUGUUCUUGGUGCCAUUAUCUGAGCUGUGUUCCUACUUCACAGUGGGACUGUAAUAAAGCACCGAGCAACUAUUGCCUCUCUUCACAGCUUGGAGACCAACUAAACCUGACAUGUCAAAGCACUGGGAAGACAGAAACGUACGUUAUCAGCAGCCCAAGCAACCCGGAGGCGGUUAAGCACCUUUGUCUCGGCCUUUGCAGCUGA
Molecule: ribosomal RNA, 1125 nt
Filed under: Triticum aestivum (bread wheat)
Lineage: Eukaryota; Viridiplantae; Streptophyta; Magnoliopsida; Poales; Poaceae
Description: partial small subunit ribosomal RNA
Source: RNAcentral